AGUGAACGCUGGCGGUAGGCCUAACACAUGCAAGUCGAACGGCAGCACAGUAAGAGCUUGCUCUUACGGGUGGCGAGUGGCGGACGGGUGCGGAAUACAUCGGAAUCUACUUUUUCGUGGGGGAUAACGUAGGGAAACUUACGCUAAUACCGCAUACGACCUACGGGUGAAAGCAGGGGAUCUUCGGACCUUGCGCGAUUGAAUGAGCCGAUGUCGGAUUAGCUAGUUGGCGGGGUAAAGGCCCACCAAGGCGACGAUCCGUAGCUGGUCUGAGAGGAUGAUCGGCCACACUGGAACUGAGACACGGUCCAGACUCCUACGGGAGGCAGCAGUGGGGAAUAUUGGACAAUGGGCGCAAGCCUGAUCCAGCCAUACCGCGUGGGUGAAGAAGGCCUUCGGGUUGUAAAGCCCUUUUGUUGGGAAAGAAAAGCAGCAGGUUAAUACCCCGCUGUUCUGACGGUACCCAAAGAAUAAGCACCGGCUAACUUCGUG
This 492-nucleotide ribosomal RNA is filed under the name uncultured bacterium. RNAcentral describes it as "partial 16S ribosomal RNA". It matches the Rfam family "Bacterial small subunit ribosomal RNA", at positions 29 to 507 of the family's 1533-position model. The record is from RNAcentral.